UACGGAGGGUGCGAGCGUUGUUCGGAAUUACUGGGCGUAAAGCGUGCGCAGGCGGUUUUGUAAGCCAGAUGUGAAAGCCCCGGGCUCAACCUGGGAAUGGCAUUUGGGACUGCAAGGCUGGAGUAUGGCAGAGGAGACUAGAAUUCCUGGUGUAGCAGUGAAAUGCGUAGAUAUCAGGAGGAAUACCGAUGGCGAAGGCAGGUCUCUGGGCCAAUACUGACGCUCAUGCACGAAAGCGUGGGGAGCAAACAGG
Molecule: ribosomal RNA, 253 nt
Filed under: uncultured bacterium
Lineage: Bacteria
Description: partial 16S ribosomal RNA
Rfam family: Bacterial small subunit ribosomal RNA
Source: RNAcentral